Perognathus longimembris pacificus (Pacific pocket mouse) is the source of this 583-nucleotide long non-coding RNA. RefSeq lists it as uncharacterized. The transcript is spliced from 3 exons. The record is from RefSeq and is a predicted model, not a curated record. Lineage: Eukaryota; Metazoa; Chordata; Mammalia; Rodentia; Heteromyidae.
AUUUUUUUAAAUUAUAAUACUUUAUUUGCAAUACUAUAAUUAAGUUUGUGUCACCCUUUCCAUUAUAUAGCUCCAAUGCCAGGAAUUUGUUGCUAGUUGUAGAAAAGUGUAAGCUAUAGCCUGAAACAGGCAUUUAUAGGACCCUCGACCUCACUGUUUUUAUCUAAAUAUCCCCUUGUCAUUAUUUUAUGUGGCAAGCAUUACCAGCCAUCACAAUACCCCACAAAGCAAGCAUGAGUUGGACCUCAUAAUUCCAAACCUAUCGAUGAGUUAAAAAUGAAAAACAUUCCUUCUCAGUAGACACGGCUAAUACUGUGGCCAGCCUGCCACAGUCCAUUCCAGUCAUCCAGAAUCUGAAAUCAUAGUUGUAAAGGAUUUCAGGGAUACCUGUGAGAAACCUGUUUCUGAAUAUAUGACAGAACACUCAUUUGCUGAAGAACAUGCCAUAAGUAGUGGUAGAAAAAAAGGGCAAGACACAGGCAUCCUGAGAGCAAGUCUCGGCUUCUUUCUGCCACUACUCUAAUACUAUUUGGUCUUCAAGUUGGGCUUCAUACUUUCCAUAGAAAGGACAAGUACAAGUUCU